This is a long non-coding RNA of Pantherophis guttatus, 269 nucleotides long. RefSeq lists it as uncharacterized. Lineage: Eukaryota; Metazoa; Chordata; Lepidosauria; Squamata; Colubridae. The record is from RefSeq and is a predicted model, not a curated record.
UAGAUGGAUUUGUAACUGGUACUUGGUAUGUAGUCCUCAACAGAACUGCAUCCACAUGAGGGGAACAACAUACUAGCAAAAGGCAAAGGCUUCAGGCUGGCAGUGCUCUUUAUAGAAGGCUUUCAGCUGUUAGCCAAUAACAAGCUAACGGUUAGCAUGGACCAGAGUAAAACCUUCCAGCAGCACCUGCACAUACACAACAUUUAUUCUGUUUUAUUAUAAAAGGUAAAAUAGAAAAUAGAAAAACAAAUAAAGCAAAACAAAAUGUG